This 1235-nucleotide ribosomal RNA is filed under the name Campylobacter coli. RNAcentral's name for it is "partial 23S ribosomal RNA". It matches the Rfam family "Bacterial large subunit ribosomal RNA", at positions 882 to 2101 of the family's 2925-position model. Lineage: Bacteria; Pseudomonadati; Campylobacterota; Epsilonproteobacteria; Campylobacterales; Campylobacteraceae. The record is from RNAcentral.
UUGUGUCGUAAUAUAAGGGGGUAGAGCACUGAAUGGGCUAGGGCAUACACCAAUGUACCAAACCCUAUCAAACUCCGAAUACCUUAUAUGUAAUCACAGCAGUCAGGCGGCGAGUGAUAAAAUCCGUCGUCAAGAGGGAAACAACCCAGACUACCAGCUAAGGUCCCUAAAUCUUACUUAAGUGGAAAACGAUGUGAAGUUACUUAAACAACCAGGAGGUUGGCUUAGAAGCAGCCAUCCUUUAAAGAAAGCGUAAUAGCUCACUGGUCUAGUGAUUUUGCGCGGAAAAUAUAACGGGGCUAAAGUAAGUACCGAAGCUGUAGACUUAGUUUACUAAGUGGUAGGAGAGCGUUCUAUUUGCGUCGAAGGUAUACCGGUAAGGAGUGCUGGAGCGAAUAGAAGUGAGCAUGCAGGCAUGAGUAGCGAUAAUUAAUGUGAGAAUCAUUAACGCCGUAAACCCAAGGUUUCCUACGCGAUGCUCGUCAUCGUAGGGUUAGUCGGGUCCUAAGUCGAGUCCGAAAGGGGUAGACGAUGGCAAAUUGGUUAAUAUUCCAAUACCAACAUUAGUGUGCGAUGGAAGGACGCUUAGGGCUAAGGGGGCUAGCGGAUGGAAGUGCUAGUCUAAGGUCGUAGGAGGUUAUACAGGCAAAUCCGUAUAACAAUACUCCGAGAACUGAAAGGCUUUUUGAAGUCUUCGGAUGGAUAGAAGAACCCCUGAUGCCGUCGAGCCAAGAAAAGUUUCUAAGUUUAGCUAAUGUUGCCCGUACCGUAAACCGACACAGGUGGGUGGGAUGAGUAUUCUAAGGCGCGUGGAAGAACUCUCUUUAAGGAACUCUGCAAAAUAGCACCGUAUCUUCGGUAUAAGGUGUGGUUCGCUUCGUAUUAGGAUUUACUCCGAAAGCGAAGAAACUUACAACAAAGAGUCCCUCCCGACUGUUUACCAAAAACACAGCACUCUGCUAACUCGUAAGAGGAUGUAUAGGGUGUGACGCCUGCCCGGUGCUCGAAGGUUAAUUGAUGGGGUUAGCAUUAGCGAAGCUCUUGAUCGAAGCCCGAGUAAACGGCGGCCGUAACUAUAACGGUCCUAAGGUAGCGAAAUUCCUUGUCGGUUAAAUACCGACCUGCAUGAAUGGCGUAACGAGAUGGGAGCUGUCUCAAAGAGGGAUCCAGUGAAAUUGUAGUGGAGGUGAAAAUUCCUCCUACCCGCGGCAAGACGGAAAGACCCCGUGGACCUU